UCAGAUGUGCCCAGAUGGGAUUAGCUAGUAGGUGGGGUAACGGCUCACCUAGGCGACGAUCCCUAGCUGGUCUGAGAGGAUGACCAGCCACACUGGAACUGAGACACGGUCCAGACUCCUACGGGAGGCAGCAGUGGGGAAUAUUGCACAAUGGGCGCAAGCCUGAUGCAGCCAUGCCGCGUGUAUGAAGAAGGCCUUCGGGUUGUAAAGUACUUUCAGCGGGGAGGAAGGUGUUGUGGUUAAUAACCGCAGCAAUUGACGUUACCCGCAGAAGAAGCACCGGCUAACUCCGUGCCAGCAGCCGCGGUAAUACGGAGGGUGCAAGCGUUAAUCGGAAUUACUGGGCGUAAAGCGCACGCAGGCGGUCUGUCAAGUCGGAUGUGAAAUCCCCGGGCUCAACCUGGGAACUGCAUUCGAAACUGGCAGGCUAGAGUCUUGUAGAGGGGGGUAGAAUU
Molecule: ribosomal RNA, 455 nt
Filed under: Pantoea agglomerans
Lineage: Bacteria; Pseudomonadati; Pseudomonadota; Gammaproteobacteria; Enterobacterales; Erwiniaceae
Description: bacterial SSU rRNA
Rfam family: Bacterial small subunit ribosomal RNA
Source: RNAcentral